Molecule: long non-coding RNA, 905 nt
Organism: Eriocheir sinensis (Chinese mitten crab)
Lineage: Eukaryota; Metazoa; Arthropoda; Malacostraca; Decapoda; Varunidae
Exons: 3
Source: RefSeq, a predicted model, not a curated record
CGUGUAGCGGAAAGUUCCAGUUGGCAACACUGCCAGGUGACAACAACAGCACGCGCCGAGGCCCGAGCAGCAUCCCUUCUGGCCCUGCCCAACCAGCCCCCUAAAACACCCCAGAAGAAGAAGACGACGAAGGCUCCACACCCACGGGCCAGCGCUGGGGACCUGCUGGCCAGCGACACCCUCAGCCCCAACACUGCCAGGACAACACCUCCACCACCGCCGCCGGGAAGUCUUAACCUUCUCAUGCAGCAGAAGUAGAGCUCUCACGGGCACGUCCACCCUCGACCACGACCACGGACCCUAGGCCUCCGGUGUGUGGAGGAAAAGAGAACAAGGAAAGAACGAGGACAACAACAACACACUCAGCCGCCGCAAAGGUUGGGGCCGCCUCAUCUGCAGGGCUGGACAGCAGCAUGAGUGGCCAGGACAAGCAGGAGCAGACUGCUGCAGGGGGCAGGAGGAAGGACAAGCAGGACCCGGACGGUGACAUCAUUAUGAGGGUCAUUCCACCGUUACGGUCGUUUCAUUCGGAAGUAACUUAUUGGUGUACUCUUACCUGUAUCUCUAGAAGUUAUGCGGUUAGCUUGAUAUGAUUUUUACCAAGAUAGUACUAAUGGCUAAAGAGGUUAAUGAGACUAUCCGGAACAUUCUGUGUUUAUUGUUGUUCUUGUUAUUUAUUGUUGAAGAGGACGUUACGGCCGUUUCACAAAUGCAACCCGCAGUUUGACUUAGUGUUGUACAUAUGCAAAACUCUGUGAGAAUACAAAGAAAUUUCCAAAUAUUUUAUAUGCAUGUUAUAGAUGAAGCUUUAAGUUAUGCAAAUAUGUAUAGGUUUUGUCAAUUACCAUUUCAGUUUUUCAUACAAAAAAUAAAGAACGCCGUUACGGUCGUUUCGAAAAUUUUGU